UUUUAAUGUAGUGUAAACAUCGAGAGAAACGAUGCAUAUUUAUAAUUUUUCAACAAGACAUUUAAUGAUCAAACCAUAACGUAUGCAUCUUGGUUUUCCGUACUAGAUUUACGUCUCAACAUCAUGUUCUUGGUGUAUGCAAACAUUUCCCCUGGAAAAAAAGAAAGGCGUAUUGAAUUUGCGUAAAUAUCGGCAGACUAACUUAUAAAUCAUAGUGUCUGGUUUGUUAGCUUACGGCUCCCGUCUUCUUCAAUGAUGUAUAUAGCGAACUUGGUGGAAUUGCAUUUUUUACAUCAUAUAAUUGAGUGCCACCAUAUGUGAAUAUGUACCGACUUUACUAUACUGAAUGGCAGUAAUAUAAGCUACAGCUACUGUGAAUGAGUAUGAAAAGAACAGUG
This is a non-coding RNA of Schizosaccharomyces pombe (fission yeast), 398 nucleotides long. The record is from the annotation of a GenBank genome assembly. Lineage: Eukaryota; Fungi; Ascomycota; Schizosaccharomycetes; Schizosaccharomycetales; Schizosaccharomycetaceae.